CUCCACCAGCCUCCUGACAAGGUGGAUAGCUUCUGUAGUGGAUCGGCCCGGCAUGAAACCGAACUGGUUCGCAGAUAUAGAUGUCAUCUCACUCGCCCUCGCCUCGAUCACCCGCUCCCAGACCUUCAUGGUGUGACUUAUUAAUUUGAUACCCCUAUAGUUGUUGCAGCACUGGAUGUCCCCUUUGUUCUUGUACAAGGGCAUCAACUUACAACUCAAAGAUCAUUAAUUUGGUAGAUGUUAUGUUUUCUACUAGUAUUUGUCUGUAGUUUUUCUCAUUAUCAUCGUAAAAGAAACAAACUAAAAGAGCCACCAUUAUCAUCGUAGUUCCCUUUCUUUUUUUAAAGAAAUUUUUGACAUAAUUAUGUCCCCUAGCGACUCGAUCCCCUAACCUUAAGGUAGGAGGUGGAGAUGCUUCCAUUCGAUCCUUCCUCUAUGGUCAGUUGUCCCAAGUUCUCGAGCAUCAUUUCGCAUUGUUUUGUUAUUACCUAUAAAACUACGACUUAUAACUGAGGAAUAAGCCAUUUAUUGAAAUUAAAAAAAGAAAGGGAACUACGAAAUAAGCUAACAUCACAGUUCUACGCCGAGAUCGGAGGGCUACGAAACCACUGAUUUUUAUUCUUUUAAUUCAGGCAACCUACCAGCCUUGACCUAUGUUGUCCCCUCACAAGAUCAACACUCACUCAAACACAAACUGAAAGUGACAAAAAAUAA
Molecule: long non-coding RNA, 714 nt
Filed under: Nicotiana benthamiana
Lineage: Eukaryota; Viridiplantae; Streptophyta; Magnoliopsida; Solanales; Solanaceae
Description: long non-coding RNA (NBEN_LNC010152)
Source: RNAcentral